GCGGCCUAGCAAGAGGUUGAGUGUUCGGACUUUUAAUCCGUUGGUCGCGAGUUCGAAUCUCGCAGGACCCACCA
RNAcentral lists this transfer RNA (74 nucleotides) under Comamonas testosteroni. Its description in RNAcentral is "tRNA-Lys(ttt)". It matches the Rfam family "tRNA". Rfam says of the family: Transfer RNA (tRNA) molecules are approximately 80 nucleotides in length. Lineage: Bacteria; Pseudomonadati; Pseudomonadota; Betaproteobacteria; Burkholderiales; Comamonadaceae. RNAcentral also lists the same sequence under 1 other name. The record is from RNAcentral.